RNAcentral lists this ribosomal RNA (448 nucleotides) under uncultured bacterium. Its description in RNAcentral is "bacterial SSU rRNA". It matches the Rfam family "Bacterial small subunit ribosomal RNA", at positions 330 to 793 of the family's 1533-position model. The record is from RNAcentral.
UCCAGACUCCUACGGGAGGCAGCAGUGGGGAAUAUUGGGCAAUGGGCGCAAGCCUGACCCAGCAACGCCGCGUGAAGGAAGAAGGCUUUCGGGUUGUAAACUUCUUUUAAGAGGGAAGAGAAGAAGACGGUACCUCUUGAAUAAGCCACGGCUAACUACGUGCCAGCAGCCGCGGUAAUACGUAGGUGGCAAGCGUUGUCCGGAUUUACUGGGUGUAAAGGGCGUGCAGCCGGGCUGACAAGUCAGAUGUGAAAUCCCGCGGCUCAACCGCGGAACUGCAUUUGAAACUGUCAGUCUUGAGUACCGGAGAGGUCAUCGGAAUUCCUUGUGUAGCGGUGAAAUGCGUAGAUAUAAGGAGGAACACCGGUGGCGAAGGCGGCCUGCUGGACUGCAACUGACGUUGAGGCCCGAAAGUGUGGGGAGCAAACAGGAUUAGAUACCCCAGUAA